GCUCAUGAGGAGCUCUUGCAGCAUCAUGCAGUCUUCUGUAAGGGUGAACCUUUUCAUCAGCUUUAUCGCUUUCUGAAAUAUUCCACAUGUGGAGCAUAGAGGAUUUCUAAAACAUUUGUCAAAUCUACACUAAGCUAUUCUAACAUUUCAUAAGUUACUGCAAAUAAAUGCUGGACUGUUUGUGCUUUGAAGAAUGACCCCACACUUGAUCACUGAGAAGCAACAGCUUGGUUUAUUUGUUUCCAACUAAGUUGUCCGGGACCAAAGAAUAAAAGUUGAUUUAUGCCAAAGGCAAGUGAAGUAGUUCUCAUUUUCAAUGUGUAAAACUUUUUAAAUCAUCUUCACUGUGACUAAAAGUUGAAUUGUUCUGUAAAUCUUGUGGAUGAUGUCAUUCCUUCCCUUUUUCUCUAUAAAUACUGUAAAACUUGGCAACAGCUCCGUUUUUCUCAGCUUUUCUCAACAAGAGUGGAAGCAGCAAUACUGUCAUUUCCUGCAUUUUGAUCGCCUUUAUUUUAGUUCCUUUAUUUUAUUCCCUUGACUACGGUCUAAACACAACAUCCACUUCUGCUGCAACAAUCAUUAAAGUAUGUUAUGAUUAACCUUCACAAUAAAUAAAAAACUAUCUAAAUUGAUAAUUGAAAAAUGUUUGAAGAGAAUAAAGCGAUUGUCCUCAGUUUUCUUGCUGAAUGAGUUUGUGUUCUUGGUGUCAAUGGGGAAAAAAAGUAACUUUCUUGAAUCAUUUAUAUGUCCUCCCUGCUCUUUGGAAACUCAGGUAUGAACGUGAAACUCUCACUAAAGAGUUUCAAAUAUUUGUGGUAUGAACAGGCUUGAACAUUAUUAACUCAAAUAUUUUAUAUGUAUGUAACAGAUUUUCUCCCCAGUGCAUUCCAAAUUAGACAAUAUCUUGCAAAGUAUUCAUAUUCUUUUAACCGUUUCACAUUUUGCUAGAUUGCAACUGAAAAACUUCUAUGUAUUUUAAUGGGAUUUUGUGUGAUAGUCGAACAUAAAGCCGAGUGCAGUUGUGAGGUCAAAUGGAAAACGAUGAAUAGUUGCCAAUCAUUCUACUAUAGAGCUGAAAGUAUGUCAUCAUGCCAGAAGGUGAAGCCAGUUUUAAAUCUAACGGGUUUGUUCUGUAUUCAGCUCUUCCCAUCGUCCCAUGGACUCAGCGUAGGUAGGCCGCCAUGUUUGAACUCUGAAUAACUGUAUUGAUAGUAGAGUAGAAGUGUUUUAACUGGAUCUUAAUAAAGGUUUAAAAUUAAAGGGGUCUGAAAGUAAACAAACACCACAGUUUUAGAUUUAUUUGUAGAAAAUAUUUAAAACUUAUAAUUUUCCUCCACUUCAGUUAUGCUCUGAUUUGUCUUGAUCUUUCACAUAAUAUCCCAAGAAAACCAGGAGACGUACGUGGUUCUAAGGUGACGCAAUGUAAAACUGUUCAAGGGGUGUAAAUACUUUGGCAAAUGUGUAAUCCCCUACUGCCUUAACUAAAGUAAAUAUGCUUUAAAUCUCAUUUAUAAUUUCAGUCUCAGCUGAGUAUGCCUUGGUUUUGACCAUGAUUAAGACCUAAGUGUGCAGAGCUAUUAAUGAUUUAAUUCAGAUGUUUGAGUUUUACAAUGAUUUAAAUUCACAUUAUUUAUCUUGAAUCUUGAUCCCCAAAGUCAAGUGCUGCAUGUGAAACUCCUUGCAACGUGCAGAACAAUUAAAUCUCUGCCGUGACGAGUGGUGCGUUCUCCUGUGCCCCCACUGGCCUGCUAUCGACUCGCAGCUCUCUCUCACACCCCCGCUUCCCCCCUUCCCGCGUCCUGCUGUCUCAACAAUUAAAUCAGUCAAGCUGACUCUCUUUCCUGUGUGCUGGGGGCCAGCAGAGGGGAAGUACACAAGGAAAGAAAAGCACUGCCUGAGUUCAAGUGCACACGCUUUAAAGACACAGCUGGCUUCAGCAAACCGGACCGAUCGACGAGGGAAAAUCAGCCGUGGAAGAGCAGAAUAAUAACCCUACUGACAAUGUGGUGGUGUACGUGGAGGCGGUAUGGGAAUUGUCUUAUAAAGAGAGGAGAUAUUUGAAAAAAAGAAAAAAGAAAAAGAAAAUCCCAACAGGAAAACUGAGGAAAAAUGUCUCCUCCCCCUUUUUUUUUUUUUCUCCAUAUAUACUCCCUCCCACCUUGGGCUCCCUCCCUCGCUCUCUCCUUCGUUUCUAUCCUGCAUACAUAUGCACACUCCCACAAACACGAUGACUGAUGUCUUUCCCUUCUCCGACCCGCUCUGAUUUUCUCAGCAGCCCUUUCUGCAGCUCCAAGACUUUCCAUUUGUUCUCGGAUGAAGCAUCCGGUGGAACUGGUUGUGCAGAGCUCUGGCACAUGCUGUCCCAGAUACACACUCAGCAGCAGCAGUGGAUCAGCGUGCCUCUCACUUUACCGCCUGUGACUUUAUCCGCUGCCUUUCCCCUCCAGCGCUCCUCCUCGCAGGACCGACUUCCUUUGUCCAUAAGGCAUGUUUUCCUUUCAAAGUGCUGAAUGCCAAGGGAUGAAGAACAGACAAAUGGUGCUUGGAGAGAAGAUGGGGAGGCAUCAGUGGAUAAAAUCUGACACUACUGGAGUGCCGUGGAGAUGCCAGAGUGCAAAACGACUUAAAAAAAAACACACAUACAAAUGAGACUAAGAAUGAGGGAACGGAGAGGAAGAAUCAGAUUGGAAUCGGGAAAGAAGAAACUUUGGAAAAAAAGCUGGCUUCAGCUUCGGCUUUGCGAGGCGCAGGCCACGAUGUAAGUGAUCUCAAGGUAACAUCUUUUCGGAGUAUUUCUGUACCCUUAUCUCCAAUUUCACAGCAUGAAAUAUGUUUUACACAAUACACAAACAGACACCCACAGAUUAGACGGCUGUAUUAACGACAAUGGCUCAUGGGAAUUUGGCCAGACUAACCCUCGAGGAAAAUAAUGAAUUUAGGAAGAAAGAAAAAUAAGAUGGAAGGAAAUAAGAGAGGCAGAAGCCAAAAGAAGAGAGAAACUUUGGUUGCAGUAUGUGUAACUGUACGAUUUGUCCAGAUAAUUUAUGACAGUGCUGGAUAUUUUUUUAUCUUUUGGGGGACUAAAUAUGCCCUCUGAAUGUCCAUAACAUAUUCAAGCUCUUGAACUGAGAAUUUCUUUCACGACAAAAGAUUUUGCCGAAGACGCUCGAUAAAUUGCACAGGUACAAAAAGCUUAAAAAGCAGGACAUAUUCUGUGUGACAAGUGCUGCUACUAAAUUUUGUCUAUGUUUAAUAAAGGCAGUUAGAUAUUACUAUACAUUUUAUUUGUUUGAAAUGCCUGUGUGAAUGAGUUUUAUUAUAUUUAAGUUACAGUCUAAUAACAUCUCAUGUCUA
This is a non-coding RNA of Poecilia reticulata (guppy), 3354 nucleotides long. The record is from RefSeq and is a predicted model, not a curated record. Lineage: Eukaryota; Metazoa; Chordata; Actinopteri; Cyprinodontiformes; Poeciliidae.